CGAUCCGCGGCCGCUGCAGAGUUUGAUCCUGGCUCAGAUUGAACGCUGGCGGCAUGCUUUACACAUGCAAGUCGAACGGUAACAGGCCUUCGGGUGCUGACGAGUGGCGAACGGGUGAGUAAUGCAUCGGAACGUACCCGGUCGUGGGGGAUAACGCAGCGAAAGCUGUGCUAAUACCGCAUACGAUCUGAGGAUGAAAGCGGGGGACCUUCGGGCCUCGCGCGAUCGGAGCGGCCGAUGUCGGAUUAGCUAGUUGGUGGGGUAAAGGCCUACCAAGGCGACGAUCCGUAGCUGGUCUGAGAGGACGACCAGCCACACUGGGACUGAGACACGGCCCAGACUCUCUACGGGAGGCAGCAGUGGGGAAUUUUGGACAAUGGGCGCAAGCUGAUCCAGCAAUGCGCGUGCGGGAAGAAGGCCUUCGGGUUGUAAACCGCUUUUGGCAGGAACGAAACGGUGUCCGCUAAUACCGGGCGCUAAUGACGGUACCUGCAGAAUAAGCACCCGCUAACUACGUGCCAGCAGCCGCGGUAAUACGUAGGGUGCGAGCGUUAAUCGGAAUUACUGGGCGUAAAGCGUGCGCAGGCGGUUGUGUAAGACACGCGU
Molecule: ribosomal RNA, 606 nt
Filed under: uncultured bacterium
Lineage: Bacteria
Description: partial 16S ribosomal RNA
Rfam family: Bacterial small subunit ribosomal RNA
Source: RNAcentral